RNAcentral lists this long non-coding RNA (908 nucleotides) under Olea europaea (common olive). RNAcentral's name for it is "long non-coding RNA (OEUR_LNC012653)". The record is from RNAcentral. Lineage: Eukaryota; Viridiplantae; Streptophyta; Magnoliopsida; Lamiales; Oleaceae.
CUCGCCACAGUUGGGCGUCUGGGAGGGGCAGCACUUUUCUUGCCCUUCCUUCGAAGGUCGGCCUCUGGAUCCUCCUGAACCUCCUCCUCCGUCGGAGGCUGAAGUCUCUUACUGGCCUCCACCAGCUCCUCCAUUUGCUUCUUAUAUGAAGAGGAGGAGGCCUUCAGUGCCCUUGCUUCAGCCAUCAUUUUCUGAAUAGUUUUGAAGUCAGGGCGUACUGGCAGCUUCUUGUUGAAGUUAUCUGCAAAGAAACGAGUGAGGAAUUAAUACAAGUAUAGGGAGUUCAGGUUAAAAGAGUGUGGGCUUCGGUCCUAUUACCUUGGGACGCCAUUGAGUCGUGAGUGACGAAGUGUAUGUUUUUCCGAAUGAGCCUGUGAUAUGACCUCUUCUUCUGAGCCAGUUGAUAAAUAACGCAAAUAAUGUCGAAGUCCUCUGUCGACAGCUCGCACCGAGGGAGGGAACCUACGAAAAGAAACAUCUGUUAAACACAAGCCCGACCGAAGAGAAAUAAAAUAUCAACUACUAUACUCACUAAGUGUUGAAAACUUCGCCGGGACUGUAAGAGGCGCCAGGGGGUCCCCCUCCAUUGUGUCCCAUCGCCCCGCUGCCCAGCACCAAGAGCUCUUCCAUUCCUUGAUGGAGCUCGGCAGAUCGAUCACAAAUGGAGUGUGGGAACCCCAUGACGUCAGGUAGUACCAGCCCCGGGUCUUAUCCCCCCGGCAGUAACCUUGGGUAUGUAAAGAGUUUGGAAAACGGAAAGGGGCAUCUCCACUCCUAACGACGCCUCUUUCCACAACAUCCAGGAGCCCACCAUCUGGCUCCAGGAGUUCGGAUUGAGCUGCGUCGGGGCUAGCCCGUAAGACCUAAGCACCAACCUAAAGAACGGGUGAAUAGGCAGCCUAAGUCCG